UCAGAUGGCCUCAAUACCCUAAAGGCACCAAAUCCUCCCUGAUCUUGGAAGCUAAACAGGGUUGGCCCUGGUUAAUGCUUGGAUGGAAAACCACCAUUGAAUGCCAGGUGCUAUAGGCU
Molecule: ribosomal RNA, 119 nt
Filed under: Anolis carolinensis (green anole)
Lineage: Eukaryota; Metazoa; Chordata; Lepidosauria; Squamata; Anolidae
Source: RNAcentral